UUAAGCGACUAAGCGUACACGGUGGAUGCCCUGGCAGUCAGAGGCGAUGAAGGGCGUGCUAAUCUGCGAUAAGCGCCGGUAAGGUGAUAUGAACCGUUAUAACCGGCGAUACCCGAAUGGGGAAACCCAGUGUGAUUCGUCACACUAUCAUUAACUGAAUCCAUAGGUUAAUGAGGCGAACCGGGGGAACUGAAACAUCUAAGUACCCCGAGGAAAAGAAAUCAACCGAGAUUCCCCCAGUAGCGGCGAGCGAACGGGGAGGAGCCCAGAGCCUGAAUCAGCAUGUGUGUUAGUGGAAGCGUCUGGAAAGGCGCGCGAUACAGGGUGACAGCCCCGUACACAAAAGCGCAUGUGCUGUGAGCUCGAUGAGUAGGGCGGGACACGUGGUAUCCUGUCUGAAUAUGGGGGGACCAUCCUCCAAGGCUAAAUACUCCUGACUGACCGAUAGUGAACCAGUACCGUGAGGGAAAGGCGAAAAGAACCCCGGCGAGGGGAGUGAAAAAGAACCUGAAACCGUGUACGUACAAGCAGUGGGAGCACCCUUUGGGUGUGACUGCGUACCUUUUGUAUAAUGGGUCAGCGACUUAUAUUCUGUAGCAAGGUUAACCGAAUAGGGGAGCCGGAGGGAAACCGAGUCUUAACUGGGCGUUAAGUUGCAGGGUAUAGACCCGAAACCCGGUGAUCUAGCCAUGGGCAGGUUGAAGGUUGGGUAACACUAACUGGAGGACCGAACCGACUAAUGUUGAAAAAUUAGCGGAUGACCUGUGGCUGGGGGUGAAAGGCCAAUCAAACCGGGAGAUAGCUGGUUCUCCCCGAAAGCUAUUUAGGUAGCGCCUCGUGAAUUCAUCUCCGGGGGUAGAGCACUGUUUCGGCUAGGGGGCCAUCCCGGCUUACCAACCCGAUGCAAACUGCGAAUACCGGAGAAUGUUAUCACGGGAGACACACGGCGGGUGCUAACGUCCGUCGUGAAGAGGGAAACAACCCAGACCGCCAGCUAAGGUCCCAAAGUCAUGGUUAAGUGGGAAACGAUGUGGGAAGGCCCAGACAGCCAGGAUGUUGGCUUAGAAGCAGCCAUCAUUUAAAGAAAGCGUAAUAGCUCACUGGUCGAGUCGGCCUGCGCGGAAGAUGUAACGGGGCUAAACCAUGCACCGAAGCUGCGGCAGCGACACUGUGUGUUGUUGGGUAGGGGAGCGUUCUGUAAGCCUGCGAAGGUGGCCUGUGAGGGUUGCUGGAGGUAUCAGAAGUGCGAAUGCUGACAUAAGUAACGAUAAAGCGGGUGAAAAGCCCGCUCGCCGGAAGACCAAGGGUUCCUGUCCAACGUUAAUCGGGGCAGGGUGAGUCGACCCCUAAGGCGAGGCCGAAAGGCGUAGUCGAUGGGAAACGGGUUAAUAUUCCCGUACUUGGUGUUACUGCGAAGGGGGGACGGAGAAGGCUAUGUUGGCCGGGCGACGGUUGUCCCGGUUUAAGCGUGUAGGUGUGUGUUCCAGGUAAAUCCGGUUCACUUUAACACUGAGGCGUGACGACGAGGCACUACGGUGCUGAAGCAACAAAUGCCCUGCUUCCAGGAAAAGCCUCUAAGCAUCAGGUAACAUCAAAUCGUACCCCAAACCGACACAGGUGGUCAGGUAGAGAAUACCAAGGCGCUUGAGAGAACUCGGGUGAAGGAACUAGGCAAAAUGGUGCCGUAACUUCGGGAGAAGGCACGCUGACACGUAGGUGAAGUGAUUUACUCAUGGAGCUGAAGUCAGUCGAAGAUACCAGCUGGCUGCAACUGUUUAUUAAAAACACAGCACUGUGCAAACACGAAAGUGGACGUAUACGGUGUGACGCCUGCCCGGUGCCGGAAGGUUAAUUGAUGGGGUCAGCGCAAGCGAAGCUCCUGAUCGAAGCCCCGGUAAACGGCGGCCGUAACUAUAACGGUCCUAAGGUAGCGAAAUUCCUUGUCGGGUAAGUUCCGACCUGCACGAAUGGCGUAAUGAUGGCCAGGCUGUCUCCACCCGAGACUCAGUGAAAUUGAACUCGCUGUGAAGAUGCAGUGUACCCGCGGCAAGACGGAAAGACCCCGUGAACCUUUACUAUAGCUUGACACUGAACAUUGAGCCUUGAUGUGUAGGAUAGGUGGGAGGCUUUGAAGUGUGGACGCCAGUCUGCAUGGAGCCGACCUUGAAAUACCACCCUUUAAUGUUUGAUGUUCUAACGUGGACCCGUUACCCGGGUUGCGGACAGUGUCUGGUGGGUAGUUUGACUGGGGCGGUCUCCUCCUAAAGAGUAACGGAGGAGCACGAAGGUUGGCUAAUCCUGGUCGGACAUCAGGAGGUUAGUGCAAUGGCAUAAGCCAGCUUGACUGCGAGCGUGACGGCGCGAGCAGGUGCGAAAGCAGGUCAUAGUGAUCCGGUGGUUCUGAAUGGAAGGGCCAUCGCUCAACGGAUAAAAGGUACUCCGGGGAUAACAGGCUGAUACCGCCCAAGAGUUCAUAUCGACGGCGGUGUUUGGCACCUCGAUGUCGGCUCAUCACAUCCUGGGGCUGAAGUAGGUCCCAAGGGUAUGGCUGUUCGCCAUUUAAAGUGGUACGCGAGCUGGGUUUAGAACGUCGUGAGACAGUUCGGUCCCUAUCUGCCGUGGGCGCUGGAGAACUGAGGGGGGCUGCUCCUAGUACGAGAGGACCGGAGUGGACGCAUCACUGGUGUUCGGGUUGUCAUGCCAAUGGCACUGCCCGGUAGCUAAAUGCGGAAGAGAUAAGUGCUGAAAGCAUCUAAGCACGAAACUUGCCCCGAGAUGAGUUCUCCCUGAGACUUAGAGUCUCCUGAAGGAACGUUGAAGACGACGACGUUGAUAGGCCGGGUGUGUAAGCGCAGCGAUGCGUUGAGCUAACCGGUACUAAUGAACCGUGAGGCUUAACCUU
RNAcentral lists this ribosomal RNA (2902 nucleotides) under Salmonella enterica subsp. enterica. RNAcentral's name for it is "23S ribosomal RNA". It matches the Rfam family "Bacterial large subunit ribosomal RNA". Lineage: Bacteria; Pseudomonadati; Pseudomonadota; Gammaproteobacteria; Enterobacterales; Enterobacteriaceae. The record is from RNAcentral.